RNAcentral lists this ribosomal RNA (346 nucleotides) under uncultured bacterium. Its description in RNAcentral is "partial 16S ribosomal RNA". It matches the Rfam family "Bacterial small subunit ribosomal RNA", at positions 338 to 676 of the family's 1533-position model. The record is from RNAcentral.
CCUACGGGAGGCUGCAGUGGGGAAUAUUGCGCAAUGGGCGAAAGCCUGACGCAGCGACGCCGCGUGAGGGAUGAAGGUCUUCGGAUCGUAAACCUCUGUCAGCAGGGAAGAACGGUCACGGGGCUAAGCAGCAGUGAAUGGACGGUACCGGCAAAGGAAGCACCGGCUAACUCCGUGCCAGCAGCCGCGGUAAUACGGAGGGUGCGAGCGUUAAUCGGAAUUACUGGGAGUAAAGCGCUCGUAGGCGGUAUGUCAAGUCAAGGGUGAAAUCCCCGCGCUCAACGUGGGAACUGCCUUUGAAACUUGCAAACUGGAGUGUGUGAGAGGAUAGUGGAAUUCCAGGUGU